GCCGCUGCUUUAACACCAUCCUAUCUGGGUGGGAACAGAAGCCUGAGGGCAACCUACACGCAGAGGUGGGGCCAAAUCCAAAGCUGAACCCCAGGAGCUGUGCGAACAAAGAAGAGAAAGGGAAAUCUCUCCCAGCAGCCCCAGGAGCAGCAGAUUAAAUCCCCACAAUGAACUUGAUGUGCCCUGCAUCUGUGGAACACCUCAAUAAACAACAAAUCGUCGAAAAAUUCUGGUGGUGGACUUCAGGAGCAACUGUAGACUUGGGGAUUGCUACCUGCGACUGAUUUGUUUCUGAUUUUUAUGUUUAUCUUAGUUUAGUGUUUAGCACUUCUUAUCAUUGGUGGAUGUGUUUAUUGGUUUGGUUGCUCGAUUCUUUUCUCUUUUUUUUUUACUAUUAUUUUUUCAUAACUUUUUUCUUUUUUUAAUUUAUUUUUCCUUUUCCUUUAUUAAUAUUUUUUUCUUUAUUCUUUUCUCCCUCUUCUUCUGAGUAGUGGGACUGACGGGAUCUUGGUGCAACAGCCUGGUGUCAGGCCUGAGAUGCUGACGUGGGAGAGCCGAGCUCAGGAGUAGGACCACCAGACUUCUCCAGAGACUUCUCUCAAUGCCACAUAAUAUCAAUUGGCGAGAGCUCUCCCAGAGAUCUCCAUCUCAACCUUAAGACCCAGCUCCAGUCAACAGCCAGCAAACUCCAGUACUACUAAGGG
This is a long non-coding RNA of Orcinus orca (killer whale), 704 nucleotides long. RefSeq lists it as uncharacterized. The record is from RefSeq and is a predicted model, not a curated record. The transcript is spliced from 2 exons. NCBI's taxonomy places the organism in Eukaryota, Metazoa, Chordata, Mammalia, Artiodactyla, Delphinidae.